This is a long non-coding RNA of Orcinus orca (killer whale), 2679 nucleotides long. RefSeq lists it as uncharacterized. The transcript is spliced from 2 exons. NCBI's taxonomy places the organism in Eukaryota, Metazoa, Chordata, Mammalia, Artiodactyla, Delphinidae. The record is from RefSeq and is a predicted model, not a curated record.
GGGCGGAGCUCGGCACCCCCUCGGGAGAGGCCUCCCAGCCCCCAGGGGAGCUCCUGUGAGGGCCCCUCUGGGGCGGGGACGUCCUCAGUGUGCCGGGGACCCUUCCUCCCCGGGAAUGACCCUCCUGGCGCCUAAAGACCCCCUUUUCCUCCCAGGGACCGAGGCGCCCGGCACCUUCUGUACCUGUGACCCCGACGCCCAAGGGAUCCAGGCCACAGGGAGCUUGAAGCUCCUUUGCAAUGAAAAAAGAAAACAACAAACAAAACUUCGAGAAUGAAACUGACCCAGGACGGAGGCGCAGAGCCCGGGACGGUGUCCGUGUUCUAGGCGCACGCGGGGCCCCCGCCCGCCCGGUGACUCUGACGACCCCGGAACGGCCAGUUUAGGAAGCGGGUUAAGAUCACGCGCCUGCAACACUUUUAAGCUUCAGAGCAGAGCAGUGUUAAUUCCGGUGUUGGCGAGAAACGGAGGGGAUUUCGCCCACACAGACACUCCCCUGCCACAAGUGCCUUCCAGUUGCCCCUUCUCCCGGCGGUUGGGCUCUUUAAAAGGUCUGGCGUUGAGUCUUGCGGAAGCGGUUAACUACUGUGAGCCUUAAUGAGGGAGUAAUUUUCUCCCCCAACUUUUCAGGACUGACAGUGCGUUAUGCAGCAUGGGACCCUCUUCCAACAUUUUCAGGCUGUGAGGCUCGUCAUGGUUGUCUGUCCUGGGAAAAAGUCGGCACCGUUGGGGUUUUGUGUCCGCCAAGAUAAAGAGGAAGGGUUGCCCUAGAGAAAGUUUGUCUGAAAAAAGAGUUUCUAAGUUUCGGUGUGGCUCUCUUCGGCAUCAGUGGGCAUUUUUACUGUGUUUUACUGCUAUACGUUCCUAUAGAAAGGAUUACUCUCUAAAUUCCAUAAAAUUUGUAGAGAUCUAAAUUUAGAGUUGAGCGAAUGAAAUGAAGGAAUCGUUAUAGGUAUCAUUGGUACCGCUUAGUAAUCUUCUCUUGAAAUGUGAGGCUUGUGGGGUGUUUUACAUAUUUGCCUCAGUGGUGAAAGACCCUUUUACUGAUCAGAAAAUAACUUAUUUUACUAAUUAGGAAACCAAAUGGGACAUCAAUUUUAUCCUGCUUUUAAAGAGGAAACGAGGAGCAGCGUUGCAAACUGUCCUAGGCACCCCCUUUCCAGCCAUAUAUAUGGGGUGGGAGCACACGGUUUUCCCUGCCCCGACUACCUGGAUCUCUGGUGAAUGGCACUACCACAGAGAGAAAUGCAGUGCUCAGGCUUUGUUUUACAAUUGGUUUAGAUGUUGGGGAUUCCUGCUGAGCCAAAUGGUUGCCUCGGGGAGAGGGACAUGGGCUGAGAGAGCCAGGCAGCAGGUCAAGGAAGCAGCAGCCUGAGCCAGUGUCUGUUUAAGGACUGGAAACUGAGCAAGUGCUGAGGACUGUUGUACACUCCCUGGGCUCUGCCUCUGGGUAAGCAAGUCUCAGGCUUCCUUUGGUUUUUUUUAAUGUUAAAGUUUAUUUCCCUCUUUCCUAGGUAAAUACUGUUGCUAGUAAUGUUUAUUUUUUCCAAAUUGAUAAUGUUCCAUGCAACUGUAACAGGGAGAUUGGGAGGUUGGUGACUGCUGGCUUUCUGUAAAAUGGAUUCCCAGAGUAUUGGCACUUAGUUCACUACUUAUUUUACUCCUGGCUGGAAAUGAUGGGAGAUUCCCAGUGUCAGGAAGUUUGGAGAAUGUAGCUGUUUUAAAGGAACUCUACUUAAAGGUAGCUUUUUAUUCAUCAAAGGUAGCUAGCUGGUAGGUAGCCCAAUAAAAGACUCUUUACCAAACACACACAUAUACACACACACAAAACCAUAAAAAGUUAGCAUAUGAUAUUCUUAACAUUGUUUUUCUCAAUUUCCUACCAGGCUCAGUCCAGUUCAAGAUGCUGGCAAACAGGUAUGGACCAAAUGGAAAGAAUUUGGCUUGAGUUAAUAAAUACGAAUAGAAUUCUUGGCCAAGGAUGAGAACUCUAAUCUGAUUGGAUAUCCUGCUCUGAUGGGUUAAAGGAUUUACCUGAGGCCAACUUGAUAGGGCUGGUGCUUGAAAGCUUUUCGAGGAGACAAGGUGUAUUUGAACAUGUGACGAUUGAUAUAUACAGAGUAGAGGUUUUCGCUUACUGUCCCUUUCAUGGUGGUAGCAGGGGAGGACUUUUGAAAAGGUGCCAAAUAUCUGCAAGAACAUAUAUCUGCCCCAUAGAGAAUUUCUGUAGAAUUCAACUCCAUUUAAACUAUUUUAAAUCAUUUUUCUGCCAGCCAGCCCCAGCCUGCAGCUCAACAUAGUAACUAGACUAGCUAUUCUAUCAAUACAGCUAUCUUAAGAAAACUGUCAGCUGCUUGAAUUUACAAAGGUUAGUUCUAAAUCCCAUACUUUUGACUAUUCUAAACAUUGUAUGUUUCAAAGUAUCCUUUUAAAAACUUGUUUUUUUGUGCUUACAGUUUUUCCUAUAAUAGAUUAUUUUGAUGAUUAAGUUUGACCCCUUUGACAGAUCAGUGGAUUCCUAAGGAUCAGGGAGGAGUUUGUUGCAUAGGGUUUGGUCGGGGGUGGGUGUUGAAGAACUGCUCUACACUUUGAUUAUGGUGCUGUUUGCCUUUGUCAAAUUUUGGAGUGAGUUUUACUGAAUGUAAAUUCAACUUCAAUAAACAUGGCUUUAAAAACUUA